AGCGAACGCUGGCGGCAGGCUUAACACAUGCAAGUCGAGCGGGCGUAGCAAUACGUCAGCGGCAGACGGGUGAGUAACGCGUGGGAACGUACCUUUUGGUUCGGAACAACCCAGGGAAACUUGGGCUAAUACCGGAUAAGCCCUUACGGGGAAAGAUUUAUCGCCGAAAGAUCGGCCCGCGUCUGAUUAGCUAGUUGGUGAGGUAACGGCUCACCAAGGCGACGAUCAGUAGCUGGUCUGAGAGGAUGAUCAGCCACAUUGGGACUGAGACACGGCCCAAACUCCUACGGGAGGCAGCAGUGGGGAAUUGUUCGCAAUGGGCGCAAGCCUGACGACGCAACGCCGCGUGGAGGACGAAGAUCUUCGGGUCGUAAACUCCUUUCGAUCGAGACGAAUGGCUUCCGGCUUAAUACUCCGGGAGAAUGACGGUACCGAGAGAAGAAGCCCCGGCUAACUCCGUGCCAGCAGCCGCAGUAAG
Molecule: ribosomal RNA, 478 nt
Filed under: uncultured bacterium
Lineage: Bacteria
Description: bacterial SSU rRNA
Rfam family: Bacterial small subunit ribosomal RNA
Source: RNAcentral